Molecule: ribosomal RNA, 371 nt
Filed under: uncultured organism
Description: partial 16S ribosomal RNA
Rfam family: Bacterial small subunit ribosomal RNA
Source: RNAcentral
GUAGGUGCAAGCGUUGUCCGGAAUUAUUGGGCGUAAAGCGCGCGCAGGGCGGUCCUUUAAGUCUGAUGUGAAAGCCCACGGCUCAACCGUGGAGGGUCAUUGGAAACUGGGGGACUUGAGUACAGAAGAGGAAAGCGGAAUUCCAAGUGUAGCGGUGAAAUGCGUAGAGAUUUGGAGGAACACCAGUGGCGAAGGCGGCUUUCUGGUCUGUAACUGACGCUGAGGCGCGAAAGCGUGGGGAGCAAACAGGAUUAGAUACCCUGGUAGUCCACGCCGUAAACGAUGAGUGCUAAGUGUUAGGGGGUUUCCGCCCCUUAGUGCUGCAGCUAACGCAUUAAGCACUCCGCCUGGGGAGUACGGCCGCAAGGCUG